RNAcentral lists this ribosomal RNA (496 nucleotides) under Aureobasidium sp. N47. RNAcentral's name for it is "SSU rRNA". It matches the Rfam family "Eukaryotic small subunit ribosomal RNA", at positions 64 to 566 of the family's 1831-position model. The record is from RNAcentral. Lineage: Eukaryota; Fungi; Ascomycota; Dothideomycetes; Dothideales; Saccotheciaceae.
UAUAGCAACUAUACGGUGAACUGCGAAUGGCUCAUUAAAUCAGUUAUCGUUUAUUUGAUAGUACCUUACUACUUGGAUAACCGUGGUAAUUCUAGAGCUAAUACAUGCUAAAAACCCCGACUUCGGAAGGGGUGUAUUUAUUAGAUAAAAAACCAACGCCCUUCGGGGCUCCUUGGUGAUUCAUAAUAACUAAACGAAUCGCAUGGCCUUGCGCCGGCGAUGGUUCAUUCAAAUUUCUGCCCUAUCAACUUUCGAUGGUAGGAUAGUGGCCUACCAUGGUAUCAACGGGUAACGGGGAAUUAGGGUUCUAUUCCGGAGAGGGAGCCUGAGAAACGGCUACCACAUCCAAGGAAGGCAGCAGGCGCGCAAAUUACCCAAUCCCGACACGGGGAGGUAGUGACAAUAAAUACUGAUACAGGGCUCUUUUGGGUCUUGUAAUUGGAAUGAGUACAAUUUAAAUCCCUUAACGAGGAACAAUUGGAGGGCAAGUCUGAUG